RNAcentral lists this ribosomal RNA (325 nucleotides) under uncultured bacterium. RNAcentral's name for it is "bacterial SSU rRNA". It matches the Rfam family "Bacterial small subunit ribosomal RNA", at positions 472 to 793 of the family's 1533-position model. The record is from RNAcentral.
ACGUUACCUACAGAAGAAGCACCGGCUAACUCCGUGCCAGCAGCCGCGGUAAUACGGAGGGGUGCGAGCGUUAAUCGGAAUUACUGGGCGUAAAGCGCAUGCAGGCGGCCUGUUAAGUCAGAUGUGAAAGCCCGGGGCUUAACCUCGGAAUUGCAUUUGAAACUGGCAGGCUAGAGUCUUGUAGAGGGGGGUAGGAAUUUCAGGUGUAGCGGUGAAAAUGCGUAGAGAUCUGAAGGAAUACCAGUGGCGAAGGCGGCCCCCUGGACAAAGACUGACGCUCAGAUGCGAAAGCGUGGGGAGCAAACAGGAUUAGAUACCCUGGUAG